RNAcentral lists this ribosomal RNA (391 nucleotides) under Pseudarthrobacter sp. RNAcentral describes it as "bacterial SSU rRNA". It matches the Rfam family "Bacterial small subunit ribosomal RNA", at positions 797 to 1186 of the family's 1533-position model. The record is from RNAcentral. Lineage: Bacteria; Bacillati; Actinomycetota; Actinomycetes; Micrococcales; Micrococcaceae.
GAAAACGGCACGUUGGGCCUAGGUGUGGGGGACAUUCCACGUUUUCCGCGCCGUAGCUAACGCAUUAAGUGCCCCGCCUGGGGAGUACGGCCGCAAGGCUAAAACUCAAAGGAAUUGACGGGGGCCCGCACAAGCGGCGGAGCAUGCGGAUUAAUUCGAUGCAACGCGAAGAACCUUACCAAGGCUUGACAUGAACCAGACCGGGCUGGAAACAGUCCUUCUCCUUUGGGGUUGGUUUACAGGUGGUGCAUGGUUGUCGUCAGCUCGUGUCGUGAGAUGUUGGGUUAAGUCCCGCAACGAGCGCAACCCUCGUUCUAUGUUGCCAGCACGUGAUGGUGGGGACUCAUAGGAGACUGCCGGGGUCAACUCGGAGGAAGGUGGGGAUGACGUA